GAUUGAGUUUGAUCCUGGCUCAAGACGAACGCUGGCGGCGUGCCUAACACAUGCAAGUCGAACGGAGAUACGCGCUGAAUGGAUGGAGCUUGCUUUUGAAAUUCUUGUGUAUCUUAGUGGCGGACGGGUGAGUAACGCGUGAGCAACCUGCCUUUCAGAGGGGGAUAACGUUUGGAAACGAACGCUAAUACCGCAUGAGACCACAGUACUGCAUAGUACAGUGGCCAAAGGAGCAAUCCGCUGAAAGAUGGGCUCGCGUCCGAUUAGAUAGUUGGCGGGGUAACGGCCCACCAAGUCGACGAUCGGUAGCCGGACUGAGAGGUUGAACGGCCACAUUGGGACUGAGACACGGCCCAGACUCCUACGGGAGGCAGCAGUGAGGGAUAUUGGUCAAUGGGGGAAACCCUGAACCAGCAACGCCGCGUGAGGGAAGACGGUUUUCGGAUUGUAAACCUCUGUCCUCUGUGAAGAUAAUGACGGUAGCAGAGGAGGAAGCUCCGGCUAACUACGUGCCAGCAGCCGCGGUAAUACGUANGGAGCGAGCGUUGUCCGGAUUUACUGGGUGUAAAGGGUGCGUANGCGGCCCUGCAAGUCAGAAGC
RNAcentral lists this ribosomal RNA (600 nucleotides) under uncultured bacterium. RNAcentral's name for it is "bacterial SSU rRNA". It matches the Rfam family "Bacterial small subunit ribosomal RNA", at positions 1 to 595 of the family's 1533-position model. The record is from RNAcentral.